GACGGGGGGGGCAAGUGUUCUUCGGAAUGACUGGGCGUAAAGCGCACGUAGGCGGCUUUCUAAGUCGGGGGUGAAAUCCUGGAGCUCAACUCCAGAACUGCCUUCGAUACUGGAGAGCUUGAGUCCGGGAGAGGUGAGUGGAACUGCGAGUGUAGAGGUGAAAUUCGUAGAUAUUCGCAAGAACACCAGUGGCGAAGGCGGCUCACUGGCCCGGUACUGACGCUGAGGUGCGAAAGCGUGGGGAGCAAACAGG
RNAcentral lists this ribosomal RNA (253 nucleotides) under uncultured bacterium. RNAcentral describes it as "partial 16S ribosomal RNA". It matches the Rfam family "Bacterial small subunit ribosomal RNA", at positions 524 to 776 of the family's 1533-position model. The record is from RNAcentral.